Molecule: microRNA precursor, 114 nt
Filed under: Olea europaea subsp. europaea
Lineage: Eukaryota; Viridiplantae; Streptophyta; Magnoliopsida; Lamiales; Oleaceae
Source: RNAcentral
AGAUUUUUUUAGUAGCCAAGAAUGACUUGCCUGCAUUUCUCCCUAAAAUAUAUGAGCAAGUGCAUAUUUAUGUGUGUUCUCCAUGCAGUCAUCUUGGAUAACUUCACUGGCUCU